CCUACGGGGGGCAGCAGUGAGGAAUAUUGGUCAAUGGACGAGAGUCUGAACCAGCCAAGUAGCGUGAAGGAUGACUGCCCUAUGGGUUGUAAACUUCUUUUAUAUGGGAAUAAAAUGUUCCACGUGUGGGAUUUUGUAUGUACCAUAUGAAUAAGGAUCGGCUAACUCCGUGCCAGCAGCCGCGGUAAUACGGAGGAUCCGAGCGUUAUCCGGGUUUAUUGGGUUUAAAGGGAGCGUAGGUGGAUUGUUAAGUCAGUUGUGAAAGUUUGCGGCUCAACCGUAAAAUUGCAGUUGAAACUGGCAGUCUUGAGUACAGUAGAGGUGGGCGGAAUUCGUGGUGUAGCGGUGAAAUGCUUAGAUAUCACGAAGAACUCCGAUUGCGAAGGCAGUUCACUGGACUGCAACUGACACUGAGGCUCGAAAGUGUGGGUAUCAAACAGGAUUAGAUACCCUAGUAGUC
This 460-nucleotide ribosomal RNA is filed under the name uncultured bacterium. RNAcentral describes it as "partial 16S ribosomal RNA". It matches the Rfam family "Bacterial small subunit ribosomal RNA", at positions 338 to 795 of the family's 1533-position model. The record is from RNAcentral.